GAUGAAGAACGUAGUGAAAUGCGAUAAGUAAUGUGAAUUGCAGAAUUCAGUGAAUCAUCGAAUCUUUGAACGCACAUUGCGCCCCUUGGUAUUCCGAGGGGCAUGCCUGUUCGAGCGUCAUUAUAACCCCUCAAGCUCAGCUUGGUGUUGGGGCCUGCUGCACUGGCAGCCCUUAAAAUCAGUGGCGGCGCCAUCUGGCUCUAAGCGUAGUAAUUCUUCUCGCUAUGGAGUCCUGGUGGAUGCUUGCCAUCAACCCCCAAUUUUUCUAUGGUUGACCUCGGAUCAGGUAGGGAUACCCGCUGAACUUAAGCAUAUUAAUAAGCGGAGGA
Molecule: unclassified non-coding RNA, 329 nt
Filed under: soil metagenome
Description: partial contains 5.8S ribosomal RNA, internal transcribed spacer 2, and large subunit ribosomal RNA
Rfam family: 5.8S ribosomal RNA (bases 1-120)
Source: RNAcentral